UGAAUUCAUGGGCUGAAAAGGAGACGAGAGGCCUUAUCAAGGAGGUACUUCCUCCCGGGUCAGUUGACAGCUCAACCAGGCUCAUCUUUGCAAAUGCGUUAUACUUCAAAGGAGCUUGGACUGAAAAGUUUGAUGCAUCACAAACGAAAGAGCAUGAUUUCUACCUUCUCGAUGGGAGCACAGUUAAGGUGGCCUUCAUGACCAGCAGGAAGAAGCAGUAUGUAAGAUCCUUCAAUGGUUUCUCAGUCUUAGGGCUUCAUUACAAGCAAGGUGAAGACAAGCGAUGUUUCUCCAUGCACAUGUUUCUCCCAGAGGCGAAAGAUGGGCUGCCAGCUUUGGUUGAGAAACUUGGUUCUGAGUCCGGGUUUUUGGAUCGCCAUCUUCCUAACCAAAAAUUUGCAGUGGGUGAUUUCAGGAUUCCAAAGUUUAAGAUUUCAUUUGGGUUUGAAGCUUCCAAUGUCCUUAAAGGUCUUGGCUUGGUGCUGCCAUUCGGUGGCGGAGGAGGUUUGACAGAGAUGGUGGACUCGCCUGUGGGUAAGAACUUGUACGUUUCCGGCAUAUUCCAUAAGUCGUUCAUCGAAGUGAACGAAGAAGGCACAGAAGCUGCAGCUGUGUCUGCCGGGCGUGUUAGGCGUUUGCGUCUGGUAGUGCCAAGGACGGUUGACUUUGUGGCCGAUCGUCCAUUUCUCUUCUUGAUCAAGGAAGAAUUGACCGGAACUGUGCUUUUCAUCGGGCACGUACUCAAUCCUCUUGCAGACUGAGCGUUGUUAUUCCCUGUAAAAGGCAAAUGUAUACGUAGAACUACACGAGAUUAUAUAUAAAAUGUAUGAUCAUCUCUAUUAAAAUAAAUGUAUGAUCAUCAUGUUCACGUCGUCUUGUUUAUAUAUAUAAAUGUAUGAUCAUCUGUGUUAAAAUAAAUGUAUGAUCUUCAUGUUCAUGUCGUCUUGUUUCUCUCAUAUGGCUUUUGUUGUUCGUUCUGCCAUGGCUAUACCUACCCGAAACUGUUGGAAAUGCUUUGGGGAUAGGCUUUUACCCAUUAAUGCUGGAAAUGUUUUUCUCCUUAAUUGUAUUGGGAACGGUUUGGACUAGAGGUUUUUCUUUUUAGUUAAGUGUCGGAUUGUCCCGGUGAAUAGUCAUUCCUUAACCAUUUGCAUGGGCUUAAAUUCUUUGUAAUUAGUUUAAAGCAACGUUGCUCUUGUAAUAAAAAAACAUUAUAAACCAAGUGCUCGGUAAUUAUUGCACGUUCAGUUAACAUGAAUCGGGACAAGUAAAGAAUCAUAGAACUUACGAGCAGGGAAUGUACAGAGGGAAAAUUUAUCUUAUCAACUGGCCAUGUAAUUUACAUAAUUCUUGAAUUUUAGGUUAAGUUAUAUUUUGUAGAUCAGGCGUAAGUUGAUUUUUUUUUUAAAUUAUUAAAGAAAUCAAUCAUCAAUUAUCACAUAAUGUGAUUUGUAAAAUAUUGUUCGAGUAGAUAGUCUCUCGAGAAUGACUCAAACUUUAUAAUGAUUUUGAUUUUUAUUACAUAGUAAUCAUGUCAUUAAGGUCAAACUUUGAACAAACAUCCAUUUACAUAGCAAGCAUGUUAUUAUGGUGUAUGCUCAUCGUCGCUUUCAAACCUUGACAUGUGUCUUCUAACAUAACCAUAAUGAAAAUUAUACUUUCAAAUUUAUUUUUUUUAUUUUGAAAGGAUGUCAACUAGUGCCAAGCUAGGACUAGAAACACAAUUUGGCAACAACAUUCCAUAUUUACCCCUGCUUUUGCUGGCUGUAUCUCAAAAAUAUAUGGGCAGUCCUCCUAAUUUUCAUCUUCUUACCGGAAUCUCACCCCACAAAUCAAAUUACAGCCCACAACUGCCUAAUUUUUGUUAGUACCAAAAUCAAGAACCAAUAACAAUAUCUUAUUAUUCGUUGCAGUUUAAAUGACACUUGUUGAUGAGUUUUGUUGCAGUUAAAUUUCAGGAUAAUAUUAGAGAGACUAAAUUUGAAGAUGAAAUUUACAAAUUAAAUGUUAUGUCACCAAUAAAAAUGAGCAUGUUUAUUAACGUUUAAAUGAUAAACCAAUUAUCAACUUCUAUAUAUGUUUGAACCCGAUGUUACACCAUCGGUUCGAGUAAUCGAGGCUAUUGAAUAAGCAGAAUUUUAGAUCGUUGAAAUUAUUAGAAAAUCUGAGCAUGCACGAUAGUUAUAACGGUGAGAAAAGUUACGGUAAUAUUAGCGUACUUCUUACGUGGCCACGCCCAAAACGAAGUCGUGGCAACUCGCGCGAAUGCCACUGCUCCCUCUAUCGUCUUCUUUCCCGCUUGGCUUCGCAUUGAUCGUUUGAACCUGUAACCGAUCACCGAUCACCGACGACCGACACCGACUUUCCUAUUUUCUCGAUGGUGAGAAAGCAUACGGCCCAAUAUUAGCGUACUUCUUACGUGGCCACGCUCAAAACGAAGCGUGGCGACUCCCACGAAUGCCACUUCUCCCUCUAUUGUCUUCUUCCCCACUUGGCCUCGCAUUGAUCGUUUGAACCUGCAACCGAUGACCGACGACCGACACCGAGAUUUUCCCAAACCUUGGUCCUUACUCUCGUAUAAAUUAGAAACGAACAGCGGAACAAUUUUCUCGCAACCGGAAGCACAGCAAACAUGGAUCUGAGAGAAAGCAUCAUCAACCAAAACGACGUCGCAAGGAGGCUGACGAAGCAGCUGGUUCAGACCGAAGGCAAGCAGUCGAACCUCGUGUACUCGCCGCUGUCCAUCCACGUUGUGCUGAGCCUGAUCGCGGCCGGGUCAAAGGGUCCCACCCAGGAGCAGCUGCUGUCGUUCCUCAAGUCAAAGUCCACCGACCACCUCAACUCCUUCGCCUCCCAGCUCGUGUCCGUGAUCUUCUCCGACGGGUCCCCCGUGGGCGGCCCCAAGCUGGCGUUUGCGAAUGGGGUUUGGGUGCACAAGCCUCUCCCGCUGAAGCCUUCCUUCGAGCAGGUGGUGGACGCUUCUUACAAGGCCGCUCUUGCCCCAGUCGAUUUUCAGACCAAUGUAAGCUCCCAAACCCUCUGUCAUGUCGUAUCGAUAGUGUUUUUUUUCAAUGCUGCUCAUGAUCAAAGUCUUCAAUUUUUUUCGAUUUGAUUGGAGAUGUUUGUUCCUUUGUUGAACCUAAAUUGCAGGCCUGCUGAUGCUCUUUUAUUAUUGUAGCAUUUCAAAUAAAUAUUUCCUCUCUAAUCAUUACUGUUCGUGCUUGUUCUUCUGAAUAGCUUAGCUGUUACGAAAUCGUAUCGUAGAUUUUUUGUUCGUUACUGUUUGUGGUUGUAAUUGAUCGAGAUAUGCAGGCUGAUAUCAUUGUUUUCUAACUUGUCGUAACUGUUGUUGGUGCUCAAGGCUGCUCAAGUGGCGUCGGGAGUGAAUUCAUGGGCUGAAAAGGAGACGAGCGGCCUUAUCAAGGAUCUACUUCCUCCCGGGUCACUUGACAGCUCAACCAGGCUCAUCUUUACGAAUGCAUUGUACUUCAAGGGAGCUUGGAAUGAGAAAUUUGAUGCAUCAGCUACAAAAGAGCAUGACUUCCACCUUCUCGACGGGAGCACAGUUAAGGCGCCCUUCAUGACCAGCAAGAACAAGCAGUAUGUAAGUGCCUUUGACGGUUUCUCAGUCUUAGGGCUUCCUUACAGACAAGGUGAAGACAAGCGGCGCUUCUCCAUGCACAUCUUUCUUCCACAGGCGAAAGAUGGGCUGCCAGCUUUGGUUGAGAAACUUGGCUCUGAGUCCGGGUUUUUAGAUCGCUAUCUUCCCAAACAACCAGUUGCAGUGGGCGACUUCAGAAUCCCAAAGUUUAAGAUCUCAUUUGGGUUUGAAGCUUCCAAUGUCCUAAAGAGUCUGGGACUGGUGCUGCCUUUCGAGGGUGAAGGAGGUCUGACAGAGAUGGUGGACUCGCCCGAGGGUAAGAAGCUAUAUGUUUCUAGCAUAUUCCACAAGUCGUUCAUCGAAGUGAAUGAAGAAGGCACAGAAGCUGCAGCUGCUUCUGCCGGCGUUAUAAGUGAGAGGAGGAUGCCCAUGACAUUUGUGGCUGAUCGUCCAUUCCUCUUCACGAUCAGGGAAGAAACGACCGGAACAGUUCUGUUCAUCGGUAACCUGCUCAACCCUCUUGCCGGCUGAGUGUUACAACCCCCUGGGAAAGGGCAUCAGAUGUACGUAGAAUAAUACGCGCGAGACUGUAGUAAAUAAAAUGUAUGAUCCUUGUAUACAUGUACUAUGUUUGGUUAUUACCUAAUCACCCUGUACUUGCAGCAGUUGGUCUUGUUUCUCCCAUGUGGCGAUUUUUGUUUGUUCUCCCAUGGCGUUUAUCCAUGUGUAGAAUCUUGAUUCUGAAUACUUAUUUUAUGAUGUACUCUGUUUGAACAAUAAAAGUUUUAGCCGACUGCAAACGUCGGUUAGUGUUAAAGUAUUUAAUAUAUAGAAUGGACGAGUGCUAGUGUUGUACCAUACACAUGGUUGGUGAUGAAAAAGAUUAAACUUUGAAUAUUCUAUAAAAUAUUAUUUAACUUGGGACGAGGAUCUUCUUUGUGAGGAUCUUAUGAAUUAAUUUAUCUUAACGGUUCAUUGUACAUCGUGUGACCAUCUUUCAUUAGAUACUUUUUGUGUUAAAUUUUAAAUAAAUUCAAAAUAAUUUUUGGCUGCAGGAUGAUUGAUAAACAGAUAUGAUGCAUUGAUUCCUAAAGUCCUCACAAAGAGAAUCCGGAUGUUUAUAGUCCUCCAUGACUGGAGAUGGCCUAAGAUGCUAAACACUUAACACUACCCAAUUUUUCCAGUUAGUUAAAUUUUCACAAUUAGUGUAUUAAAUUGCUUAAGAAAUGUUAUCAGCACUCUAAAAUAAUUGACCAUAUUUUCUUGACUCUUUUGUUAAAUUGCAUGAAGAUUUUUUUGGAUAGUCAAUAAUAUCUCCCAAUUGCUUAACAUAGAAUUAAAUAGAGUAUCGCUAACUAGAGCAUGAUAUGUUUCUGUGUCUUUGAUGCCCUUUGCUCGAGAAAAUUUAGUAUAGGGUUUUCAUCACAAAUGGUCCCUGACAUUGAUCAAACACAUCAUUUUGGUCCCUGACAUUGAAAAUCAAUAGAAAUGGUCCCUGACAUUGAUCAAACACAUCAUUUUGGUCCCUGACAUUGAAAAUCAAUAGAAAUGGUCCCUGACAUUGAUCAAACACAUCACAAAUAGUCCUUCCGUUAAAAACGUUUUGGGCAAUUUUCAAAGCUUUGUAACUCAAUCGUUUCUUAACCAAAUUCGACCCAUAAUAUAUCAAAAUGAAGAUAGGAAAGUGUAGAACAAGAUUAUACCUAUUUGGAAACCCAAUGGUUGCCGGAGAUGGCCGGAAAACAGCCUCAAAUGUGACUGGUCCGCGAAAAAACUGGAAAACUCGCCUGAAAUGGGGUAAACUUUAAACAUUCAUAACUUCUUCAAUAAUCAACGAAAUCGAGUGAUUCAAAAAUGAAAAUCAUACUUCUCGACGAGACUAAGAGAAUGGUAGCUUUCUUGAUGGCUAACUCAUUGUAGUUUGGCCGGAAAAUGACUCGAAAUUGGCUAACUCGAAAAUGGUUAUCCAAGUUCGAGCCAUUUUCCGGUCAAACCACGGUAAAUUAGUAGUCAAUAAAGAUACCAUUAUCUUUCUCUCAUUGAGAAGUAUGAUUUUCAUUUUUGAAUCACUCAAUUUCAUUGAGUAUUGAAGAAGUUAUGAAUGUUUAAAGUUUACCCCAUUUCAGGCGAGUUUUUCAGUUUUUUCGCGGACCAGUCACAUUUGAGGCUGUUUUCCGGCCAUCUCCGGCAACCAUUGGGUUUCUAAAUAGGUAUAAUCUUGUUCUACACUUUCCUAUCUUCAUUUUGAUAUAUCAUGGGUCGAAUUUGGUUAAGAAACGAUUGAGUUACGAAGCUUUGAAAAUUGCCCAAAACGUUUUUAACGGAAGGACCAUUUGUGAUGUGUUUGAUCAAUGUCAGGGACCAUUUCUAUUGAUUUUCAAUGUCAGGGACCAAAAUGAUGUGUUUGAUCAAUGUCAGGGAUCAUUUGUGAUGAAAACCCUUUAGUAUAUGAACGACAAACUACGUGUUAUUACGGCCACAGACGAUAAUCCAGACUAUUUGUUUAAUACUUAAGCUUACUUGUGGUCCCAUUAUGUAAAAAAAUUUUGCAUUAGUCUGCACACAAGAAAUUUUUUAUUGGUUUCAGUUGAGCUCAAAUAAUAAUAAUCUGUUCGUGUAAAAGUUAAAAUUUAUCUUAUUAUGUAAUUGAUUUAAAAUACCGUAAAUACUGAUUUAAAAUUAUCUCAUUGUCAGCUUGUGUGUCAUUCUCGUAGAAUUUGGAAUUAUUCACAUUGUUUAGUAACGUAGGAUAUUUCAAGAAGCAUUUUUGCUCACUAUCAUUUAGUGUAAUGUAUAUUCAUCAUUCUAUUUAUCAUCGUUAGAUGAGUUUGAAUUUUAAGAUCCGUGUAGUGGAUAGACACAAAUUUCAAAAUUCAAUCUCAUCUAACGAUAAUAAAUAUGAUGAUGAACAUAAAUCAAAUAAAUGAUGAUGAAAAAAAAUACAUAGAUAUUUCAGUACAUGAAAACGUCACGUUAAUGAAAGGAGCUGGAGCGCCUGCUGCUGACCUCGGUCAAACAGACGGUGUGGGUUUCACGUGGCUGGCGCGAAAUCUAAACCGUUAAUUUAAUGUUAGUUAUCUCUCCCCUUGUCACGACUCCCAUGUAAUGCUGUAAAGUCACAAGCACCCAUCGUUUGGUUCUAAUAUUACAACAGUACCGCCCAUGGAAACACAAUCUUAAGCAAUCUCUAAUACUCAUAAUGUUGUUGAAGUUUUGCACUAAUAAUAGUUGCUAAACAGUGAUUAGACAGUCAGAUAAGAGACAGGGUUUAUGAUGUGAUUUGGACGUCCCAUCCUUUGCCACUUAAAAUGUCUUACCUACCAAACAUAUCUUGAAAAAUAAUUUAGCUUGGUACGAAGAAUCACAAUUUUUGUUUAUAAUUGACGAAAUCAAUCAAUGCAUGUUUUUUAUCAAAUCAAUAUUUAUUGGGAUAUUCAUCCUUAAAAUCUUCAUUUUGUUAUAAAACAACAAUAUAUUUAUUAUUUUUAAAAUUUUGUAAUACGUUUAUUUAAGUAGUGACUUUGAACGUUUUAAAAUUGAAAAAUCAAUAUUUAAAUGCAAAGUUGUCCGUUUUGAAUAAUCUCUAACAAUAUUUUCCUUCUCGUAAAUGAGUAAGAUUGGUUUAUUUUGUACACAAUUAGAUAUUGAGAGUUGAAAUUCUAAAUACUAAGUUCUUCUUAACAUAUUUUCGUAACCAUUUAAGAUGUUUGUAUAUUCGAAGAAUAUGGAAAAAUUGAAUCAACCCAGAUUAUUAUUAUGGCUGUCGACAUCUUUUAUCAGAGGAUAGCCAUCAAGUCACACCGCAUAUCCAGAAAGAGAAAUCCAUCCAAAAAAUAGGAAAACGAAAUGACAUUCCUUAUUUUCCUCCAUGGACGUCCCUUCUCUCCCCACCACGAAGGUCCCAGCUGAAAAGAAACGGAUGGCACAAUCGUGAUUAUCACAAACAGGAAUGUCAAAUUGUAGCAAGAGCAUGGUCAGCGCCGUUACAAAUAAGUGGAAGUUCCUCGGAAGAGUAAGAGAACGCGACAAUCAUAACGUAAUCUAUCUCUUCACUUUCUCAAUCCUUUUCUAUCUUUUUUUUCUUUCUGGGUUCCUUGUACUUCUCAUAAAUAUUAAGAGUUUAAUUCAAAAGAAAGGAACUUUCUCUUUCAUUGCUUACAUUUUUUUUUUCAGAUUAUUUACUUUCCCUUCCUUGCAGUUGCUUGGAAGAAACCAAGCUCAGAAGACCUUUGUUUUUUGAGAAUUCAGUUCAAUCCGUUUAUAUAUAUAUAUAUAUAUGGUGUUGAUGAUUUACCAGAAGUGAUAGUGCUUCAACCGAGAAGAAGAAGCUUUUAGUCUUCAGAAAUUCAGAGAAAAGAUAAGGAAGUGGAAGAGUGAAGGAAAAGCAAAUCAAAAGAUGGGAGAAACUGCUCCUCAUCCUCCACCACAGGUGGUUGCUCGGCCGUCUCAGAUGCCUCUUGGGGCAGCGAAGGGUCCCCAUUUGGACUCCAACUGAGCAGCUCCACAACCUUCAGUAUUGCAUCCACUCCAACCCCUCUUAGCGUUAGUCUCUCUCUGUUUCUGUUAAUUUCUUCGUUCUGGGUUUUAUAUUUUUUGAGUAAAAAGCUGAUUAAAGUUGUGCUAUUUUAAUGGGUUGGUUUAAAAGUUGAAGCUUUUGGCACUACUUCUUAUUUAGUUUACUAGUUUGCUUUUUAUUCCUAAUUUUGCAAAUUACUUUUACUAUUUUUGUUUCGGAUUCUCUAAUUUAUUGUGUUCGAAUCUUUUUAAGUACUGUAAUUAGUUCUAAUAAAAUAAUAAGCAUAUGUUCCAUUACCAGUUUCAACUUAUCCUGCUUACAAGACAUCGAUAUCACUCGAAAAUGUUUAGGAAGUGUAAACGUAAAUUUCCCAUGUUUAUCAAAUGCAACAAACUGCUUCUAAUGGAUCGAAUUUUACAGCGGAAACAUUCGUACUCGCUUUUCAGCACUAUAUUGUGAUGCUCGGAUCCAUAGUUAUAAUUGCCACUAGUUUCGUGCCUCGGAUGGGUGGGGAUCAUGUAAGUUAUGUCCUCUAUACAGUAAAGUUUAUAAUAUGCCGGUUAAGAUUAGCGAUCACACACGUAGCUUUGAAUCCGUGAUGUUAAUGUUUGGGUUUUGUUCUCCCUUUGUGAUCAGGGUGACAAGGCACGCGUGAUUCAGACGAUGCUGUUUAUGGCAGCAAUAAACACUUUGAUCCAAACAUUCACGGGACAAGGCUUCCAACAGUGAUGACUUCGUCAUUCGCUUUUACCCUUCCGGUGAUGUCAAUCAUCAAUGAUUAUUCUGAUCGGAAUUUUAGAAGUGAACAUGAGGUAUGUAAAGUUUGAAACAUGUUAUUCAUAGAGGAUUUAACAUCACAUUAAUUUACUUCUUAAAUUGCUUUAAGAAAUUUCAGUUAUAGACUUUGAGAUGAAAAAUACGUGGUGCAAAAAACGUGUAAACCUUACAUACCUGUAGAAGACGUCAUGAUGAAUUUCUGGUUUUGAGGACGGAAUAGAUUGAAGCACGUCCAUGCACUGUUGCGUCAUAUGCAACAAACUGAUGGGGAGUUCUAGGGUUGUGGCAUUAGCAAUGUGACAGGGACCUCAAACUUACAUAGGCCUCACGUCCCUAGAACCCUACCCACUAAUGGAGACUAGAAACUCUUAUGAUCCUCUAACGAGAAUAAUAAAGCCAAUGGAAAUGUUAGCACACAAUUGUUGUACAUAUAACAGACUUCGAGCAAUUUUUGGAACACGUAAAACAUUGUUAAGAAUAAGAUCAUGAGUAUUGGUUUUAAUGGUUGUUGCAUCAAUAUUCUUAAUGGAUAAACCUGUUCCAUUUCCAACUGUGAUUUUAUCAAAACCUUGGAAUGGUGUAACUUGAUUCAAUGUGGUGGCAUCAGCAGUGAUAUGAUGAGAUGCACCAGUAUCAACAAUCCAUGCAUCAUGAGGAAUAUAUUGUUCUAUCUGCUGUGUUGCCAUAGCUGUUAAGUUUGCAGGUGGUUGUUGGCCUUGAAAAACAUAAUUCCCUUUGUGAUAACAUUCAAGAGCUGAGUGACCUUUUUUUCCCACAAAUCUGACACUCCAUUUGAAAUCUAGUAUUUGGUGUAGUAGCAUUUCUGUGAAAACAAUUGACUGCAGUAUGCCCUUUCUUGUUGCAGAUUUGGCACUCAAUCACUGUUGUUGACCUGCUCUCUGUGUUUCCAUUCCACACAUUUGAACCAUUUGACCUUGAAUUGCCAUACGAAAAAUCAGAAGAGUUUCCUAUGUUGUAACCCUUGCUUUUGAAUCCACCAUUUGUCUUGUAAUUAUUGUUACCCUUGUAGUUUGAACCACCAAAAGGUUUCUGCAUGAAAUGAGGUAUUGGACCAGAAUUUGAUGCAUUAGCCAUAAACCCAAAACCAUAGGGAACUUGAGGAUAAACUGGACCAGGAAAUUGCGGAGACAUAGGAGGUUGAGGCAUAUGAGGUUGCUGUGGAUAUUGUUGUGGCAAGACAAAUGGCUGUGGUUAUUGUGGCUGUGGAUAUUGUUGUGGAUAUUGCUGUGGUAAAACAAAUGGCUCAGCAGAAUAUGGAUAUGGAUUAGGAGUUAUAACACCACCAGUGGUUGCAGGUAAAUGACUAUGCCCUGCAGGAUUAGACCCUGAAGCAAAUGAAUUUCCCUGAGUUGACUAAGAACCCUAAACAUAUAAGGCAGAUAGACUUUGAGACCCAACACUUGUGUCUCAUUCAAUCUCUUUUUCAGCUCUAAAUUUUUUCAAGGAAAUGGAUGAUUCUUUGCCAUAUAUCACAGUUCGAAUAGUUGCAUACUCCUUCGGCAAACCAGCUAAACCAGCAAUUAUAACAUCAUUAUCAGAAAUGAACUCUCCAGUAGCAGUUAAUUGUUCUCUUAUACUCUUCAAUCUUAACAGAUAUUUAUCCAUCAAAUCUCCUCAUUUUUGAAUGGUGUACAACUCAAUUUUUAAAUGAUUUACCCUAGUUUUAGACACUGAAGCAAAUCUAUCCACAAGAUUCGACCAAGCCUCACAAGCAGUUAAACAUCCAAGAACAUAUUUAAUAGCCUCAUCAAACAAAGUAGCUAGUAAAAGACUUAGUAAUGGAUAUGUGGAUUCCCAUUCAACAUAUUCAGCAAGUUCAGAAGUAACUCCUCUCUUAGUAUCUAUUACAAAUUUUUGUGGACAACCAAUAGUGCCAUCAAAAUGCCCAAACAAUUUAUGACCUUUCAACACAUAUUUGAACUGAAAAGCCCAUUUCACAAAAUUAUCAUCCUUCAACUUUAUUGUGAUCAUUCCCAGUUUCAACUUUAACACUUGAAGUAGUCAUGAUUUCUUGAUCGAACACAUAGAAUUUGCAAAUAACAAACAAACACCCAAAAAUUUCUGAUAUACGUAUUGAAAGGAAAGACUGAAACUUUCUCACAACCCAAGCAAGACUGAAACUCGCUUAAUACUCAGGAAAAACUGAAACUUUCUUGAUGAAUCUUGCACACAAAUACAACACACAAUUCCAAUUCGGAAAAGAAAACACAAAAUCUUCUAAUCAGGACUGAAACCCAAUUACUCAACAGAAAUUCACACUAUCACUUGAAUUGCAGCUGUGAUUGCAGCCACAAAUAGCCAGAAUACCAACCGCCAGAAAGAACAACAAGGAUCUGCAAUCGCCAGAACUUUUGAACAAACCCGUUGAAAAGACCUUUCAGAAUCCUUGAACUGGAUAGCAGCGAAAGAACUAGGAUCGAAAACGGUAGUGAACCAUGGUCAGCGAUGAUACCAUAUUAACAGUGUUGAAUUGUGGCCAAGUGGCCAUCACCUUUCGGCUAAUAAACAAACAAAGAAAAGAAAAAGAAAGACAAAAUGAUGAGGAAACAUCAUGAUGAGGAGGCAUCAUGAUUAUGCUUUCUUGUAGUUUUUUAAUAACCAUAAUUAUUGUUUUUGUUUCGGGUAGAAGAGAAGAAAGGGAGAGCUCAUUUUUUAGAAGAAAGCAUAUUAAAGAGAGAAGAGGAGAGAGAGAAGGUAGAGCCUUUUGGUUAUAAAAGGCAUUCGAUUAUGCCUUUGGAUGUGGGAGGGGGGGGAGCGGCAGAUGAGAGAGCACAGGGAGAGCAUUCGGCUCUCCCAUUUGAAUAUGAGCUGCUCCUUCCCACCAUUUGUAAUAAUCCCAUUUUGUUAGUAAUCACUCAAUCAAAGAUGUUGGUGCUACUUGUGUAGCUUUUGGGAGAGAAGGAUUUUGAUAUGUGUUUCUUCUUCUCCAUUUGUUUCUUAGUUUGAGUGAGAGCUAUUGGGUGUAUGUGGGAUUUGGGUUUGAGUGUUGAACUCUAUUUGUAAUCUCCUUUUGAUAUUAAUGGAAUUUCCUCGCCGUCUCGGAACUGGAUGUAGGCUUACGCCAAACCAGUAUAAAAAUCCUUGUGUCUUUUGGAUUAUUUGUCUUGUCAUAUUUUGCCGUUAUUAGCUUUGAUUUCAUAUUUGAAGCUUCCGCACAACAAGUGGUAUCAAAGCUCCGGGUUUCGACUUGGAGGCUUUGUACUAGUAUGUCUAUGAAAUCUUCAAAUGACGGUGAAAUAUGUUUUUUGGAAAAAUUCGACUGGAGGAAUGACUUUGGCAUUUGGUCAAUUGGAGAUGCAGAGUUUGGCUGCAAAAUGCGUGGCGUUGAAGAAGGAUAGUAAGGGACUAUGCUGCAGUCAUUGAGCUUGCAGAUUGGAGAAUGGUUUCGGAAACAGCGUGUCUGCUGCAAUGUUGCCGUCGAUGUUGUUGAAGUGUUGGUGUUCGACAGCUGCAGAUGUAGUGUACUGCUUUUGGUGGGUUCUCUGUUGGUCAUCGCUGCACCGGAGGUGUUUGUGGGCUGUUGUCGACGAGUUGAGUGGGAAGGAGAAAAGGUAGAAGCAGUUGAAAAUUGAAAAGAAAAUGUUGGUUCUUUUUCUUUCGGCAUUUGUUUUGGCAGAAGGACAUCAUGAUGACAAAUGAUGUUGUUGGCUGGAAGAAAAGGGAAAAAGGCUAAGGCUAAGUUUUCUUUUCUUUGGCAUUUUUUCAACGGCAGAAAAUUUUUGGUUCUUUUUUCACUCCCAUUAGUUGCCUUUGGAGCAAGUUGAUGGAAACAUUGGAGGAGUUUGUGAGGGCCAAUUUGUUGAGUUCUGCAAGUUUGGAUAGUGAGGCACCACACUAUUUUGGAUACACCACAUGCACUGCAGAACAUUUGUGUGGAACCCUCUUGUAGAAGGCAAGUUAUAUGCUUUCUAACUUUGUUUGGUCUAUGGACAUUUAGUUGGAUUUGUUUGCCACUGCUAUUUGGUUUGUUGGUCUCCAUCAUCUGCAAUUAGUUUUCUUGAAGACUCCAGUUGAGGUAUGGUUUUGGAUCUCCUGCUGAUUAUUUGAAUUUGAAAUUUUUGGUUGUCCUGUUGGUGCUCAUGUGAUGAUGGUAAACUUGAGUGGAGGGCAUAGUUUUUUUGUAUGUGGUAUGUUAGACCUUGUUGCCAAAUUUGUAAUCAGUUUUGACUUGGAGAAUAUGCCGUGCUAUUUGAAUGAGUCUAUUGAUGCAGUUUAAGACCAUGGUGUUUGUAAGCAGGUGGAGUUCGUUCUGUGUCCAACUUUGGUAUGGUGUGCUUGAUCUUUUGUUAGUGAUAUUGAAGAAUUUCAGUUCUUCGUUUGAAUCACUUUUGUUUUGAUCAAGGCACUUAUGGUUUGCAAAUUUGGAGAAUACGGUAGAGAAAUGGUCUACUUUUGUUGGCUUUGGUAUAAUUUGAGUCGAGGUGGAGAUCAUUAUGAGUACCGGAAAGUUUGGGGAAUUUGAUUUAGUUCCCGUUGUCUUUAGUUUGUACUUUGGGUGAUUAUGGUGAUUGUUGAUUCGAUUCUCUGUGAUGGUUUCGGAACUUGGCCAAGGUGGAGAUUGUUGAAUUGUGGCCAAGUGGCCAUCAUCGGCUAAUAAACAAACAAAAGAAAAGAAAAAGAAAGACAAAAUGAUGAGGAAACAUCAUGAUGAGGAGGCAUCAUGAUUAUGCUUUCUUCUUUUGUGGUUUUUUAAUAACCAUAAUUAUUGUUUGUUUAUUAGCCGAAAGGUGAUGGCCACUUGGCCACAAUUCAACAAUCUCCACCUUGGCCAAGUUCCGAAACCAUCACAGAGAAUCGAAUCAACAAUCACCAUAAUCACCCAAAGUACAAACUAAAGACAACGGGAACUAAAUCAAAUUCCCCAAACUUUCCGAUACUCAUAAUGAUCUCCACCUUGACUCAAAUUGUACCAAAGCCAACAAAAGUAGACCACUUCUCUACCGUCUUCUCCAAAUUUAAAUCCUAUGAAGAAAGGGAGAGCUCAUUUUUUAGAAGAAAGCAGAUUGAAGAGAGAAGAGGAGAGAGAAGGUAGAACCUUUUGGUUAUAAAAGGCAUUCGAUUAUGCCUUUGGAUGUGGGGAGAGCGGCAGAUGAGAGAGCACAGGGAGAGCAUUCGGCUCUCCCAUUUGAAUAUGAGUUGCUCCUUCCCACCAUUUGUAAUAAUCCAAUUUUGUUAGUAAUCACUCAAUCAAAGAUGUUGGUGCUACUUGUGUAGCUUUUGGGAGAGAAGGAUUUUGAUAUGUGUUUCUUCUUCUCCAUUUGUUUCUUAGUUUGAGUGAGAGCUAUUGGGUGUAUGUGGGAUUUGGGUUUGAGUGUUGAACUCUAUUUGUAAUCUUCUUUUGAUAUUAGUGGAAUUUCCUCGCCGUCUCGGAACUGGAUGUAGGCUUAUGCCGAACCAGUAUAAAAAUCCUUGUGUCUUUUGGAUUAUUUGUCUUGUCAUAUUUUGCCAUUAUUAGCUUUGGUUUCAUAUUUGAAGCUUCAGCAAUACAAACAGUACAAGAUCAAUGAAUUCCUAUGAAUGAAUAAACUAAAGAAAUCGAAGAAAGAGAAUAACGAGAGAGAAAAGCUUUUCAUUUAUAUUGCUCUAACAGAAAAUGAUUACAUGAUAAAAAUCUAAGUCUCCAAAACAAUAAUUAUAUAGAGACUAGAAUGAGCAGAAUCACAAUAUUGCCUUUCUAACUAAUUCUUAUCUUCUAACAACCUCAACACUCACAAGCUUGACACUUGUCAUUUCUUACAACCACUCCUAACAAAUCCUAACUGUUUAUCUGGUUAAUAUAACGGAUGGCCGACGACCGACACCGAGAUUUUCCCAAACCUUGGUCCUUACUCUCGUAUAAAUUCGAAACGAACAGUAAACAAUUUUCUCGCAAUCGGAAGCACGGCAAACAUGGAUCUGAGAGAAAGCAUCAUCAACCAAAACGACGUCGCAAGGAGGCUGACGAAGCAGCUGGUUCAGACCGAAGGCAAGCAGUCGAACCUCGUGUACUCGCCGCUGUCCAUCCACGUGGUGCUGAGCCUGAUCGCAGCCGGGUCAAAGGGUCCCACCCAGGAGCAGCUGCUCUCAUUCCUCAAGUCAGAGUCCACCGACCACCUCAACUCCUUCGCCUCCCAGCUCCUGCCCUUUAUCUUCUCCGAUGGGUCCCCCGUGGGCGGCCCCAAGCUGGCGUUUGCGAAUGGCGUUUGGGUGCAGAAGCCUCUCCCUCUGAAGCCUUCCUUCAAGCAGGUGGUGGAAGCUUCUUACAGGGCCGCUCUCGUCCUAGUUGAUUUUCAGACCAAUGUAAGCUCCCAAACCCUCUGUCAUGUCGUUUCGAUUGUUUUUGUCGAUGCUGCUCAUGAUCAAAGUCUUUGGUUGUAAUUUCAGACCAAUGUUUCAAUGUCGAUGCUGCUGAUGCUCUUUUGUUCGUUACUGUUUUUGGUUGUAAUUGAUCGAGAUAUGCAGGUUGAUAUCAUUGUUUUCUAACUUGUCGUAACUGUUGUUGGUGCUCAAGGCUGCUCAAGUGGAGUCGGAAGUGAAUUCAUGGGCUGAAAAGGAGACGAGCGGCCUUAUCAAGGAUCUACUUCCUCCCGGGUCACUUGACAGCUUCACCAGGCUCAUCUUUACCAAUGCAUUAUACUUCAAGGGAGCUUGGAAUGAGAAAUUUGAUGCAACAGCUACAAAAGAGCAUGACUUCCACCUUCUCGACGGGAGCACAGUUAAGGCGCCCUUCAUGACCAACAAGAACCAGCAGUAUGUAAGUGCCUUUGACGGUUUCUCAGUCUUAGGGCUUCCUUACAAACAAGGUGAAGACAAGCGGCGCUUCUCCAUGCACAUCUUUCUUCCACAGGAGAAAGAUGGGCUGCCAGCUUUGGUUGAGAAACUUGGCUCUGAGUCCGGGUUUUUAGAUCGCUAUCUUCCCAAACAACCAGUUGCAGUGGGCGACUUCAGAAUCCCAAAGUUUAAGAUCUCAUUUGGGUUUGAAGCUUCCAAUGUCCUAAAGAGUCUGGGACUGGUGCUGCCUUUCGUGGGUGGAGGUCUGACAGAGAUGGUGGACUCGCCCGAGGGUAAGAAGCUAUAUGUUUCCAACAUAUUCCACAAGUCGUUCAUCGAAGUGAAUGAAGAAGGCACAGAAGCUGCAGCUGCUUCUGCCGGCGUUAUAAGUGAUAGGAGGAUGCCCAUGACAUUUGUGGCUGAUCGUCCGUUCCUCUUCACGAUCAGGGAAGAAACGACCGGAACAGUUCUGUUCAUCGGUAACCUGCUCAACCCUCUUGCCGGCUGAGUGUUACAAUCCCCUGGGAAAAGGCAUCAUGUGUACGUAGAAUAAUACGAGAGUAUAGUAAAUAAAAUGUAUGAUCCUUGUAUACAUGUGCUAGGUUUGGUUAUUACCUAAUCACCCUGUACUUGCCGCAGUUGGUCUUGUUUCUCCCAUGUGGCGAUUGUUGCUCGUUCUCCCAUGGCGUUUAUCUAUUUGUACAAUCUUGAUUCUGAAUACUUAUUUUAUGUUGUACUCUGUUUGAACAAUUAAAGUUUUAGCCGACUGCAAACGUCGGUUAAGUGUUAAAGUAUUUGGACAGGGAUUGUCUGCUUUUUCAUUUUUCGUGUCCUUCUGUUUUGUGUGUUCACAGUUAAACUACGUCAAUAUUUUAUAUUAUUUUUUUAUAGAAAUAAUAAGAUAAAAAUAAAUAAUAAUAUAAAAUAUUAACGUGACUUAACUGUAACCACACAAACAGGAGGGCACGGAAGACCACCGGAAGUGGAAGAGCGGACAUUCUUGUCCAAAGUAUUUAAUAUAUAGAAUGUACGAGUGCUAGUGCUGUACCAUAUACAUGGUUGGUGAUGAAAAGGAUUAAACUAUGAAUAUUCUAUAAAAUAUUAUUUACCCUAGGACGAGGAUUUUCUUUGGAUCUUCUUUACGAGGAUCUUAGGAAUUAAUUCAUUUUAACGGUUUAUUGUACAUCGUACGGUCAACUUUCGUUAGAUACUUUUUAUGUUUAAUUUUAAAUAAAUUCAAAAUAAUUUUUCACUGCAUGAUGCAUUGAUUCCUAAAGCACUCGCAAAGAGACUCCAGAUGUUUAGUUCUCCAUGACUGGAGAUGGCCUAAGAUGCUAAACACUUAACACUAACCAAUUUUUCCGGUUAGUUAAAUUGUUUAAUAAAUGCUAUCCACACUCUAAAAUAAUUGACCAUAUUUUCUUGACUCUUUUGUUAGAUUGCAUGAAAUAUUGUUCGAGUAAAUAAUCUCUCAAGUAUCACUCAGACUUCAUAAUGAUUUUGAUUUUGAUUACAUAGUAAGCAUGUCAUUAAGGUCAAAUUUUGAACAAACACCCAAUUACAUAGCACGCAUGUUAUUAUGGUGUAUGCUCAUUGUCACUUUCAAAACUUGACACCUGUCUACUAACAUAACCGAUGGCCGACGACCGACACCUUCCCAAACCUUGGUCCUUACCCUCGUAUAAAUUCGAAACGAACAGUAAACAAUUUUCUCGCAAUCGGAAGCACGGCAAACAUGGAUCUGAGAGAAAGCAUCAUCAACCAAAACGACGUCGCAAGGAGGCUGACGAAGCAGCUGGUUCAGACCGAAGGCAAGCAGUUGAACCUCGUGUACUCGCCGCUGUCCAUCCACGUGGUGCUGAGCCUGAUCACAGCCGGGUCAAAGGGUCCCACCCAGGAGCAGCUGCUCUCAUUCCUCAAGUCAAAGUCCACCGAUCACCUCAACUCCUUCGCCUCCCAGCUAGUGUCCGUGAUCUUCUCCGAUGGGUCCCCCGUGGGCGGCCCCAAGCUGGCGUUUGCGAAUGGGCUUUGGGUGCACAAGCCUCUCACGCUGAAGCCUUCCUUCAAGCAGGUGGUGGACGCUUCUUACAAGGCAGCUCUCGCCCUAGUCGAUUUUCAGACUAAUGUAAGCUCCCAAACCCUCUGUCAUGUCGUUUCGAUAGUUUUUUUUUCAAUGCUGCUCAUGAUCAAAGUCCUGAAUUUUUUUUCCCGAUUUGAUUAGAGAUGUAUAAAUAUUUCCUAAAUUGCAGGCCUGCUGAUGCUCUUUUAUUCUUGUAGCAUUUCAACUAAAUAUUUCCUCUCUAAUCAUUACUGUUUGUGCUUGUUCUUGUGCAUAGCCGUUACGAAAUCGUAUCGAAGAUUUUUUUGUUCGUUACUGUUUGUGGUUAUAAUCUAGGUAUUAAAUAUUGAUAAUAUCGGAAAUAUCGGUAGUCCAGAAACACGGAAAUAUUGAUGGAAAUAUCGGGAUAUUAUCGAUAUGUAUAAAAAUAAUAUGGAAACCACGGAAAUUGUAAGAAAAACUUGGAAAUUUUUAUUGAAACUUUGCAGGAUGUUUAUUUAGUCAAUUAUCUAUUAGUUUAUCACAAAAUAUUGGAAGGAAAUGUAUUACAUAAUAGAUUUAACUGAUUUAAGUUGAUUAUAUAGCGAACUAGCGAACUACCAAACAUUAUGAGUUAGAAAAUAUGUAGUAAUUAAUAAAAGAAGUUUAAACACACAGUCACCGACUAUUAAAAAUUGUACAUGUAAAAGCUGUAAAAGUUGAAUUAUUUAGAUGCUUUUUUUUCUUACAUGCCACCCACACACACACACACACAGACUCUCACACGCCAACACACACGCACACACAGAUCACACACACAUCACACACACAGACAGAGACUGAGGUCUCUCUUUCUCGAUCCUUCUCUCUUCUCUCUCGAUCCUUCUCCCUUCUCUUCGACAGAGACUGAGGUCUAUCUCUCUCUCGAUCCUUCUCUCUUCUCUCCCUUCUCCAUUCUCCCACACACACACCCAGAUCUCUCGAUCUCUCUUCUCCCUUCUCCCACACACACGCACAGAGACCUCGCCCCUCCCCCCUCGUCAUCGUCUCCACCGCAAAUCUAGGUCUUUGAACGUAAAUUGCAGGCCUGCUGAUGCUCUUUUAUUCUUGUAGCAUUUCAACUAAAUAUUUCCUCUCUAAUCAUUACUGUUUGUGCUUGUUCUUGUGCAUAGCCGUUACGAAAUCAUAUCGAAGAUUUUUUGUUUGUUACUAUUUGUGGUUAUAAUCUAGGUAUUAAAUAUUGGUAAUAUCGGUAGUCCAGAAACACGGAAAUAUUGAUGGAAAUAUCGGGAUAUUAUCGAUAUGUAUAAAAAUAAUAUGGAAACCACGGAAAUUGUAAGAAAAACUUGAAAAUUUUUAUUGAAACUUUGCAGGAUGUUUAUUUAGUCAAUUAUCUAUUAGUUUAUCACAAAAAAAUUGGAAGGAAAUGCAUUGCAUGAUAGAUUUAACUGAUUUAAGUUGAUUAUAUAGCGAACUAGCGAACUAGCAAACAUUAUGAGUGUAGAAAAUAUGUAGUAAUUAAUGAAAGAAGUUUAAACACACAGUCACCGACUAUUAAAAAUUGUACAUGUAAAAGCUGUAAAAGUUGAAUUAUUUAGAUGUUUUUUUUUCUUACAUGCCAUCCACACACACACACACACACAGACUCUCACACGCCAACACACACCACGCAUACACAGAUCACACACACAGACAGAGACUGAGGUCUCUCUCUCUCGAUCCUUCUCUCUUCUCUCUCGAUCAUUCUCCAUUCUCUCUCGACCUAGACUGACUCUCUCUCUCUCUCUCUCUCUCUCUCUCUCUCUCUCUCUCUCUCUUUCCCACACACACACAGAUCUUUCGAUCUCUCUUCUCCCUUCUCCCACACACACGCACAGAGACAUCGUCCUUCGUCAUCGUCAUCGUCUCCCACACACACGCACAGAGACCUCGCCCCUCGUCAUCGUCUCCACCGCAAAUCUAGGUCUUUGAACGUAAAUUGCAGGCCUGCUGAUGCUCUUUUAUUCUUGUAGCAUUUCAACUAAAUAUUUCCUCUCUAAUCAUUACUGUUUGUGCUUGUUCUUGUGCAUAGCCGUUACGAAAUCGUAUCGAAGAUUUUUUGUUCAUUACUGUUUGUGGUUAUAAUCUAGGUAUUAAAUAUUGGUAAUAUCGGAAAUAUCGGUAGUCCAGAAACAUGGAAAUAUUGAUGGAAAUAUCGGGAUAUUAUCGAUAUGUAGAAAAAUAAUAUGGAAACCACAAAAAUUGUAAGAAAAACUUGAAAAUUGUUAUUGAAACUUUGCAGGAUGUUUAUUUAGUCAAUUAUAUAUUAGUUUAUCACAAAAAAUUGGAAGGAAAUGCAUUGCAUGAUAGAUUUAACUGAUUUAAGUUGAUUAUAUAGCGAGCUAGCAAACAUUAUGAGUAGAAAAUAUGUAGUAAUUAAUGAAAGAAGUUUAAACACACAGUCACAGACUAUUAAAAAUUGUACAUGUAAAAGCUGUAAAAGUUGAAUUAUUUAGAUACUUUUUUUUCUUACACGCCACCCACCCACACACACACACACACUCUCACACGCCAACACACACGCACACACAUACACACAUCACACACAGACAGAGACUGAGGUCUCUCUUUCUCGAUCCUUCUCUCUUCUCUCUCGAUCAUUCUCCCUUCUCUCCGACAGAGACUGAGGUCUCUCUCUCUCUCUCGAUCCUUCGCUCUUCUCUCCCUUCUCCAUUCUCCCACACACACACACAGAGAUCUCUCGAUCUCUCUUCUCCCUUCUCCCACACACACGCACAGAGACAUCGUCCCUUGUCAUCGUCAUCGUCUCCCACACACACAUACACAGACCUCGCCCCUCGCCCCUCGUCAUCGUCUCCAUCGCAGAUCUAGGUCUUUGAAUGUCAAAGUUUCGAGCGCACCUCAAAUCCAGGCAAUCUGAUUCUGACGCUGUAGUCGUCGCCGCCACCACCAACUUCCUAAGCCAAGAAUGGAGAACCUGAUCUCGUUGGUGAACAAAAUCCAGAGGGCUUGUACUACUCUAGGGGACUAUGGCGAAGGUAGUGCAUUCGUCGUCGCCGUCGUCGCCAUCGCCGUCAGUGGUCAGAUCAACUCCCGGUCCCUCACCUUCUUACCUCUUCGAUUGAUUCAUGCAUAUGAAUUGUGGUUGUGUUUUCAAUCGCUCUGUAGCUUAGAUCUUGAUCUUAAUCAUGUUUUUGCAAGGUUUUUGGGAUGAAAUCGGCUCGGGAAUCGGCACACCCAUUUCCGGCGUUCUUCUCCGAGUAGCCAGUUCCAAAAAUAUCGUGAUAAUUUCGGAAAUAUUACGAUAUUAUCGAUAGUAUAGCUAUAUUUUGACGAAAACCCUUUGGAUACCUAUUAAAAUAUCGGUCCGGCGAAAAACCGAUAAUAUCGACGAUAUAUUGGCGAUUUUGUUCCUUGGUUAUAAUUGAUCGAGAUAUGCAGGCUGAUAUCAUUGUUUUCUAACUUGUCGUAACUGUUGUUGGUGCUCAAGGCUGCUCAAGUGGCGUCGGGAGUGAAUUCAUGGGCUGAAAAGGAGACGAGCGGCCUUAUCAAGGAUCUACUUCCUCCCAGGUCACUUGACAGCUCAACCAGGCUCAUCUUUACGAAUGCAUUGUACUUCAAAGGAGCUUGGACUGAGAAAUUUGAUGCAUCAGCUACAAAAGAGCAUGACUUCCACCUUCUCGACGGGAGCACAGUUAAGGCGCCCUUCAUGACCAGCAAGAGGAAGCAGUAUGUAAGUGCCUUUGACGGUUUCUCAGUCUUAGGGCUUCCUUACAAACAAGUUGAAGACAAGCGGCGCUUCUCCGUGCACAUCUUUCUUCCAGAGGAGAAAGAUGGGCUGCCAGCUUUGGUUGAGAAACUUGGCUCUGAGUCCGGGUUUUUGGAUCGAUAUCUUCCCAAACAACCAGUUGCAGUGGGCGACUUCAGAAUCCCAAAGUUUAAGAUCUCAUUUGGGUUUGAAGCUUCCAAUGUCCUAAAGAGUCUGGGACUGGUGCUGCCUUUCGAGGGUGAAGGAGGUCUGACAGAGAUGGUGGACUCGCCCGAGGGUAAGAAGCUAUAUGUUUCCAGCAUAUUUCACAAGUCGUUCAUCGAAGUGAAUGAAGAAGGCACAGAAGCUGCAGCUGCUUCUGCCGGCGUUAUAAGUCAGAGGAGUAUGCCCAUGACAUUUGUGGCUGAUCAUCCAUUCCUCUUCACGAUCAGGGAAGAAACCACAGGAACAGUUCUGUUCAUCGGUAACCUGCUCAACCCUCUUGCCGGCUGAGUGUUACAAUCCCCUGGGAAAAGGCAUCAUGUGUACGUAGAAUAAUACGAGACUAUAGUAAAUAAAAUGUAUGAUCCUUGUAUACAUGUGCUAGGUUUGGUUAUUAC
RNAcentral lists this long non-coding RNA (22071 nucleotides) under Malus domestica (apple). RNAcentral's name for it is "long non-coding RNA (MDOM_LNC007255)". The record is from RNAcentral. Lineage: Eukaryota; Viridiplantae; Streptophyta; Magnoliopsida; Rosales; Rosaceae.